GAUUUAGUUCUUAAAAAAGCGGAGACUCACGAGAUGGGAUUCCAGGUUCUAGCAAUCUUCUAGCAACCUCGAAGAUGGCAGGGUCUUGGGUAGUCACCACCUACGAGCCAUUUGCAAUGCCAAUGAGGAGUUACUUCAACUGGUUCAUGCGGAAAAGCAAGAAAGAAGAACUUGAGGCAGAAAUGCGGGAACUAGAGUACGAACAGCCUUGAGACUUCCAGCUCGACCGCAUCGAUCGGUUCUGCGAAGAGUUUGGGAGAUUUUGAAAGAAUCGUGCAAAUGAGUACGUGAAUUCACCGCAUCAGAUCUUGCCUCUUGUAUCGUAUCACAACAAACUUGUUCACUGUUGAUGAGUUUUUCAACGUCCGGGAUCAUAAAUUUUUACAAACCAUGUCAUAGAUUCCAGGAAUGUGAGCGAGAAGAUGCAAAGAGCUUGGUUG
This 440-nucleotide long non-coding RNA is filed under the name Physcomitrium patens. RNAcentral describes it as "long non-coding RNA (PPAT_LNC000606)". Lineage: Eukaryota; Viridiplantae; Streptophyta; Bryopsida; Funariales; Funariaceae. The record is from RNAcentral.